UAGUUGGUAGGGUAACGGCCUACCAAUGACAGCGAUGCCUAUGGGGUCUGAGAGGAUGAUCCCCCACAUUGGCACUGAGACACGGGCCAGACUCCUACGGGAGUGCAGCAGUGAGGAAUAUUGGGCAAUGGGCGAAAGCUUGACCCAGCCAUGCCGCGUGCAGGAUGACUGUCCUAUGGAUCGUAAACUGCUUUUUCACGGGAAGAAUCCCCCCGUUCUUCGGGGGUUGACGGUACCGUAUGAAUAAGGGUCGGCUAACUCCGUGCCAGCAGCCGCGGUAAUACGGAGGACCCGAGUGUUAUCCGGAUUUAACUGGGUUUAAAGGGUGCGCAGGCGGAAUAGUAAGUCGAUGGUGAAAGGCUACAGGCUUAACUGUAGAAUUGCCAUUGAUACUGCUAUUCUUGAGUGCUGUCGAAGCGAGCGGAAUGUGUAGUGUAGCGGUGAAAUGCAUAGAUAUUACACAGAACACCGAUAGCGUAAGCAGCUCGCUAGGCUGUUACUGACGCUGAGGCACGAAAGCGUGGGUAUCGAACAGGAUUAGAUACCCUGGUAGUCCACGCUGUAAACGAUGAUCACUAGUUGUUGGCGAUAUAUUGUCAGCGACUGAGCGAAAGCGUUAAGUGAUCCACCUGGGAAGUACGUCCGCAAGGAUGAAACUCAAAGGAAUUGACGGGGGCUCGCACAACCGGUGGAACACGUGGUUCAAUUCGAUGCUACGCGAGGAACCUUACCUGGGAUUAAAUGCAGUCCGACUCUUAGACGAAAUCGAAGUUCCCUUCGGGGCGUUCUACAAGGUGUUGCACGCCUGUCGUCAGCUCGUGCUAUGAGAUGUCGGGUUAAGUCCCUUCACGAGCCCAUCCCCUAUGGUUAGUUGCCAGCGGGUAAUGCUGGGGACUCUUGCUCAUCUGGCAGUGUAAGCUGGAGGAAGGUGGGGAUGACGUCAAGUCAGCAUGGCCCUUAUGUCCAGGGCUACCACACGUGUUACAAUGGCCGGUACAAAGGGCAGCUACCACGCGAGUGGAUGCUAAUCUCUAAAGCCGGUGUUAGUUCGGAUCGGAGUCUGCAAUUC
This 1069-nucleotide ribosomal RNA is filed under the name uncultured organism. RNAcentral describes it as "bacterial SSU rRNA". It matches the Rfam family "Bacterial small subunit ribosomal RNA", at positions 246 to 1313 of the family's 1533-position model. The record is from RNAcentral.